Agrilus planipennis (emerald ash borer) is the source of this 514-nucleotide long non-coding RNA. RefSeq lists it as uncharacterized. The record is from RefSeq and is a predicted model, not a curated record. The transcript has 4 exons. Lineage: Eukaryota; Metazoa; Arthropoda; Insecta; Coleoptera; Buprestidae.
AUAUUUAAAAGAUCUUCUAUAUUAUAUAAGACGCAAUAACCAUUAGAAGAAAAUGAAGUCUGGAAACAGGAUGCAUUCAGAUGCAUUUACUACUUUUUGAUUUAUAAGAUAAUAAUCACAGAAGGCUAAAUUGGUGGUAAAAUGGUCCUAAACUUUGGAAUUUCUAGGAAUAUAAUCAACCACCACAUGAACAAUAUAUAUAAAAGAUUCCAAAAAUUUUGUGCCAAUUUUGUCACAAUAAUUUGCAUAUUUUUAUUUAUGAUAUGCAUAUCAGCCAUAUUAUUUAAACCAUCAGAUAAUACAAUUAAUGUAUUAUUUAUUAAUGUCGGAAAGGGUGUAAUUCGAAAAACUAAUGAGAACUAUUUAAGUCUUGGACUAGAUUCUUCAGUCAUUGCUGAUGGUUUCUUUGGUUUUGACAUGAAUAACCCCCAACUAAUUGCUGUUACAAAACACUUGAGUCCAGGAUUAUUAAGAGUUGGUGGUACACUUGCUGACAGAUUAAGAUUUGUUUCUG